UGCAGAAAUUCAGUGCGAUGCAGUUCAGAUCUAGCAGCACUUACCUUAAUUGAAAUAUUCUCUUUGAACGAGGUGAGAAAUCAGUCAAAUCAACCGUGAACGGGGUGGAGAGAUCGAAGUUUUCAAUCAACACCCUCCAAGUAGCUGCCUGCGGUCAAUCUGUGCUCCAGAUAUUCUUUGCAUUUAAUCUGUCAGCAGAGUCAACAAUACCAAAGUCUUAAUGCCAGGUUAUGAUCAACAAAGAAGGAUAAAAGCAGAAGGAAAGAAGAGGAAGAAGAGGAGGAGGAAGAGGAAUACCUGGAGGAUGGAAAGAACAGAACCAAGUAGUGUAGACUACACGGGACUACACAGGACUAGAGUAGAACAGGCAUUUCUGGAACAGUCUGAUCUUGGAAGAGCAAAUAUUAUUUCACAUAUUCUUUUUUAAAUUGUAUACACACAAAGCAACACUGUUUUAUUUUUUAUUGUGGGCUGCCAUUUAGAAUAUUAGAAAGCUCCUGUUUGAAAGUGUUAACACAGAUGUUUAUUAUAAAUACCUUUAUAUUUAGAUUAUUCAUGACCUACAAUUACAUUUUUCCCAGAAAGCCACAUUUUCAAAACUAAACUCCUAUUUGAUAUUAAAAUAACAACUUUAUUCCAACUCAGCACAAUUUCAAAUUCAAGAUUUAAAACUACUUUAAAUUAAGUUUUUGUGAUCAGGGCCCACAUGUUGGAAUUAAUGGCUAAAUUAAGGAGCAGUUCUAUAAUGGUUUGGUGUCACACAUGUUUGAAUUGAUGCAUUAUUCUAAAAUUCGAUUAUACAAUCUAACCUUGCCACACAUAUCUUUGUGGUCUAUAUUUUGGUAAUUACUAUUUUUAAAAAAAUAGUGUUUUAAAAAUGUAUUUAUGUAAUGCUUUUAUUUUUUUCUGAUAGUUCAUAGUUUGUUGUGUUACAACUAAAUCAUAGUGGAAGAGUAAAGACCUUCCUAUUAAAAUUGUUUUGUAUCAGAACAAUUACAAGACUCACUAUUAACACAACUCCACCUUACUUGUCACCAUGGC
Molecule: long non-coding RNA, 1041 nt
Organism: Zalophus californianus (California sea lion)
Lineage: Eukaryota; Metazoa; Chordata; Mammalia; Carnivora; Otariidae
Exons: 3
Source: RefSeq, a predicted model, not a curated record